GACGAACGCUGGCGGCGUGCUUAACACAUGCAAGUCGAACGAAGUGGCGAACGGGUGAGUAACGCGUAAUCAACCUGCCCUUCAGAGGGGGACAACAGUUGGAAACGACUGCUAAUACCGCAUACUGAAGGUGGGGAUUGCGUCUGAUUAGCUAGUUGGAGGGGUAACGGCCCACCAAGGCGAUGAUCAGGAGCCGGUUUGAGAGGAUGAACGGCCAAAAUGGGACUGAGAAACGGCCCAGAAUCCCACGGGAGGCAGCAGGGGGGAAUCUUCCGGAAUGGAGGAAAGGCUGACGGAGCAACGCCGCGGGAGUUAUGACGGCCUUCGGGUUGUAAAGCUCUGUUAAUCGGGACGCGGUACCGGAAUAGAAAGCCACGGCUAACUACGUGCCAGCAGCCGCGGUAAUUC
RNAcentral lists this ribosomal RNA (408 nucleotides) under uncultured bacterium. Its description in RNAcentral is "partial 16S ribosomal RNA". It matches the Rfam family "Bacterial small subunit ribosomal RNA", at positions 28 to 526 of the family's 1533-position model. The record is from RNAcentral.